This 73-nucleotide transfer RNA is filed under the name Prasiolopsis wulf-kochii. RNAcentral's name for it is "tRNA-His". It matches the Rfam family "tRNA". From Rfam's summary of the family: Transfer RNA (tRNA) molecules are approximately 80 nucleotides in length. Lineage: Eukaryota; Viridiplantae; Chlorophyta; Trebouxiophyceae; Prasiolales; Prasiolaceae. The record is from RNAcentral.
GUGAGCGUGGCCAAGUGGUUAAGGCAUUGGUCUGUGACGCCAACACUCGCGGGUUCAAAUCCCGUCGCUCACC